NNGGAAGCGUGCCCGACCUAGGGGUUACUUUGAUAGAGUAAAAUAAAGGGGUUAAAAUCCCCUCACUUCCU
RNAcentral lists this transfer RNA (71 nucleotides) under Scincella caudaequinae. Its description in RNAcentral is "tRNA-Ile". It matches the Rfam family "tRNA". From Rfam's summary of the family: Transfer RNA (tRNA) molecules are approximately 80 nucleotides in length. Their secondary structure includes four short double-helical elements and three loops (D, anti-codon, and T loops). Lineage: Eukaryota; Metazoa; Chordata; Lepidosauria; Squamata; Scincidae. The record is from RNAcentral.